Long non-coding RNA from Micropterus dolomieu (smallmouth bass), 658 nucleotides. RefSeq lists it as uncharacterized. Lineage: Eukaryota; Metazoa; Chordata; Actinopteri; Centrarchiformes; Centrarchidae. The transcript has 5 exons. The record is from RefSeq and is a predicted model, not a curated record.
AUUUCCUCCAGUGAUUUCAGCUCACGAGCGCCUCCCUGUGGUCUGAUUUUGUCAGGAAGUUGUACUCAGCAGUAGCAGGUCAGGAGUGCUCAACCACUCAUUUGGGCUGUCUUAAGUAAACACUAACAGACAAAGGAGACCAAAGGAAGGUAGCAUACACAGGCUACGAAACACGGCAGAGAUGAGGGAUUUCAAGGACGUGUGGACUUCAAUUUAAUCGAAGAGGCGGAGAGUGGAGUGGAAGAGUGACACACAGAGGAGAGAAGUUCAUUAUUCUGCUGAAAAGGAGACCAAUGGCUUUCACAGUCGCCAUGGUAACUGGCCUUUCUUUUGCCGUCAGACCUAUGAUAAGUUUGAGUGACAGUCCCUUCACCUAAUGACUGAACGUAGGCGCUUCCACUGCCUCAGAUGGGCCCACAGAGAUGAUCGUCGGGGGUUGCAUCCCAGCGUGUGGUUUGACCGUCCAGAUGUUUAAAGGAAAUUCACCCAGCUCAGAAGGAGACUGCAAAACUCCUGAGGAAAAAACUUUUCGCAGGUGGCCCAAAAAGUGCUCAUGAAAAUAUUUAAGGCCAUCUGUUUAAAAAAAACCUAACUUUUUUGUUGGCAAAAUAUAUUUUGUGAAAUUGUAAUUAAAGCAACAUGACAUGUUUGGCAGCAG